RNAcentral lists this non-coding RNA (97 nucleotides) under Actinacidiphila rubida. RNAcentral describes it as "Streptomyces rubidus Glycine sequence". It matches the Rfam family "Glycine riboswitch aptamer". Rfam says of the family: This family represents the bacterial glycine riboswitch. Lineage: Bacteria; Bacillati; Actinomycetota; Actinomycetes; Kitasatosporales; Streptomycetaceae. The record is from Rfam by way of RNAcentral.
CGAGGCCGCGCGGGAGAGUUCCGACCCUGUCCGGGCCGGGCGCCGAAGGAGCAAGUCCUCCCUUGAAUCUCUCAGGCACAGAUACCGCGCGGGCGAG